This 513-nucleotide ribosomal RNA is filed under the name Triticum aestivum (bread wheat). Its description in RNAcentral is "partial small subunit ribosomal RNA". Lineage: Eukaryota; Viridiplantae; Streptophyta; Magnoliopsida; Poales; Poaceae. The record is from RNAcentral.
AUGGAGACCAAUAGGGCUCCUGGGCCAGACAAUAUACCUGCAGAGUUUUACCAACACUGUUGGGGCAUUAUCAAAAAAUGAUAUCAUGCAACUGUUUGUGCGCACGCGGGGGCGCUUGAUGUUCAACGCCUCAGCUAUUGGAUUAUAACCCCGUUACCCAAAGUAUCAGGGACGGAUCGUAUUCAGCAAUUUCUCUCAAUAUGUCUCCUUAGAUGCCCAUAUAAGCUCAUCACAAUGGUUUUGGACUGUAGAGUAGAGAAAUAUGCUGAUAAACUCAUCAACCCUACUCAAAAUGCCUUUGUCAAAAGCAGAAAUGUUAUGGAUGGUAUUAUGUCACUUCAUGAACUUCUCAACUAUAUCCAUGUUAAGAAACAUGUGGGUGUUGUACUUAAGCUCGACUUCGAGAAAACAUAUGAUAAGGUUGGGAGUUCUUGUUGGAGUGUCAUAGACUUCGAGGAUUUAAUAACACUUGGUGUGAUUGUAUUAGGCAAAUCUUAUACAAUGGCACGGUGA